This 468-nucleotide ribosomal RNA is filed under the name uncultured bacterium. RNAcentral's name for it is "partial 16S ribosomal RNA". It matches the Rfam family "Bacterial small subunit ribosomal RNA", at positions 28 to 507 of the family's 1533-position model. The record is from RNAcentral.
GACGAACGCUGGCGGCGUGCUUAACACAUGCAAGUCGAACGGAAAGGCCCUGCUUUUGUGGGGUGCUCGAGUGGCUAACGGGUGAGUAACACGUUAGUAACCUGCCCUUGACUUUGGGAUAACUUCAGUAAACUGGGGCUAAUACCGGAUAGGAGCUCCUGCUGCAUGGUGGGGGUUGGAAAGUUUCGGCGGUUGGGGAUGGACUCGCGGCUUAUCAGCUUGUUGGUGGGGUAGUGGCUUACCAAGGCUUUGACGGGUAGCCGGCCUGAGAGGGUGACCGGCCACAUUGGGACUGAGAUACGGCCCAGACUCCUACGGGAGGCAGCAGUGGGGAAUAUUGCACAAUGGGCGGAAGCCUGAUGCAGCAACGCCGAGUGCGGGAUGACGGCCUUCGGGUUGUAAACCGCUUUCGCCUGUGACGAAGCGUGAGUGACGGUAAUGGGUAAAGAAGAACCGGCUAAAUACGUG